GCACCGCACGUAUUCCUCUUCCUCCCCAAAUCGUUUCCGUUCAGAUCGCUCGCCCCAGGCUUCUUCCUCCCAAAAUCAAAAUCAUUCAAAGCGCGCGCACCAGGCUUUUUCCUCCCCAACUUGAAAGCUUUCAGGGCAUUUGCACCAGACCUGCGACAGCACCAGCAGGACAGCAAAGAGCGUUCAGACCAGAGACUUGCAGUGGUAGCAUCGGCAAGACGGUAACCCUCCGUGAUUUGCGAAUUUUGAAGGUUGAAGAGUGGCUAAUGUGUUGUUCUUGGAAUCACUAGUUGGAGUGGGCUUUUCCUACUUAAACACUUCGUCUGAUUAUGAUCAAGCAGGAGAUAAGUUUACAGCAAAAGAUGCCUAUGUGUUCCUCAUCAAUUGGCUUGAGAGAUUUCCACAAUACAAAUUCAGAGAUUUCUUGAUCAUUGGAGAGAGCUACGCUGGUCAUUAUCUGCCUCAACUUGCUUACACCAUUUUGGUCCAAAAUAUUUUCUCUGGACAAACCAUUAUCAACCUUAAAGGCAUUGCUGGAAUGCUUGGAUUGAUGAUGAAACAAGUUCAGAGGGAAUAUUCAAUUACUUAUGGACUUAUGCUCUAAGCUCAUAUGAAACCCAUUCAAUUAUUGAUAAUAUAAGUUUUCCUGGUUCACCUGACACCUCACUCAUAAAUGGUCCACCUGGUUUUGAACAAUAGACUGACAAAAACAAAAGGAAGGCUGAAUGGACAUUUACAAACAUAGAUUGACAAAAAACAAGAGGAAGGCUGAAAGCUGUCUAAUGAUGGAUGGAGAUUAAUUUGCUACUAAAUGCUGGUAGGGGCAGAUGAUUGUUGUCCAAUAAAGCAAAGCAAGUGCCAUCCAACAAAAAGAAUCAUACUAUGAAGUCAUGUGCUCCAAAAGAGGAGAUGGGGAUAUACCAUAAUGUCCAAGAAAAUUGUGUAAUGCUUGUGAAUCCAAAAAAAUGGCCAGCAACCUAUCUUGCAUCUAUUUUAAUGUCCUGUAUGAAGAAGAAAUUGUAGCUAGUUAGGUUUAUGUAAUGUGAUGUCCAUAUGUGAUAAGACAAUCUAUGUAUACAAGUAGCAAAUGUACAAAAACUUUGAAAUGAAUGAAAGAUUAUUCCAUCUA
Molecule: long non-coding RNA, 1129 nt
Organism: Prosopis cineraria
Lineage: Eukaryota; Viridiplantae; Streptophyta; Magnoliopsida; Fabales; Fabaceae
Exons: 4
Source: RefSeq, a predicted model, not a curated record